Molecule: ribosomal RNA, 300 nt
Filed under: uncultured Bacillus sp.
Lineage: Bacteria; Bacillati; Bacillota; Bacilli; Caryophanales; Bacillaceae
Description: partial 16S ribosomal RNA
Rfam family: Bacterial small subunit ribosomal RNA (bases 52-300)
Source: RNAcentral
CGUAAAGACGGGCCAUGGGCGGGGGUAAAAGGGAGGGGGGAAGAGGUGUACGGAUGAACUGGGCGUAAAGAGCGGGAAGGCGGCGAAUUCAGGUGAAUGGGAAAGCCCACGGCUUAACUGGGGGGGGUCAUUGGAUACUGCUCGGGUAGAAGACAGGAGAGGGAAGUGGAAUUCCCGGUGUAGUGGUGAAAGGCGUAGAUAUCGGGAGGAACACCAGUGGCGAAGGCGACUUUCUGGCCUGUUCUUGACGCUGAGGCGCGAAAGCUAGGGGAGCAAACGGGAUUAGAUACCCGUGUAGUC